This 2818-nucleotide long non-coding RNA is filed under the name Homo sapiens (human). RNAcentral's name for it is "HSALNT0058089". The record is from RNAcentral. Lineage: Eukaryota; Metazoa; Chordata; Mammalia; Primates; Hominidae.
CUUUUCUUAUUUCUGACCAUAGGGGAGAAAUGAUUCAAUCUUUCACGAGUAAUUUGAUAUUUAUGUUAGCUAGAAGUUUCUUGUAGCUGUCCUUUAUCAAAUCAAGAAAACUUACUUCUAUACCUAGUUUGUUGAGUUUUUUUUUUCAUAAUUGAAAGAACAUAGUAUUCUGACAAAUGCUUUUUCUACAUGUAUUAAGGUCACCAUAUGUUUUUUCUUUUUUUGUUUGCUUGCAUUAAGAAAUAUGUUGAUUGAUUUUUGAGUGUUAAGCUAACCUGGCAUGCCUGGAAUAAAACUGGUCAUGAUUUAUUAUCCUUUUCAUAUAUUGUUUAAUUUGAUUGGUUAACAUUUUGUUAAAAAAUUUUGCAUCUAUGUUUAUUAGGAACAUUGGUUUGCAGUUUUCUUUUUUUUAAAAUGUCUUUGCCUGGAUUUGUUGUUGGAAUAAUCCUGAAAUCAAUGCAUAACUUGAAGGAGUUUCGCUCCUGUUGCCAAGGCUGGAGUGCAAUGGCGUGAUCUCAGCUCACCGCAAACUCUUCCUCCGGGUUCAAGCGAUUCUCCUGCGUCAGCCUCCUGAGUAGCUGGGAUUACAGGUGUGCACCACUAUGCCUGGCAUAAGUUUGUAUUUUUAGUAGAGAUGGGGUUUCUCCAUGUUGGUCAGGCUGGUCUUGAACUCCCGACCUCAGGUGAUCUGCCCUCCUCGGCCUCCCAAAGUGCUGGGAUUACAGGCGUGAGCCACUGCGACCAGCCCAUAAAGUGGUUUUAUACUCAGGAGCAGCAACAGCAUUCAAAUUUUCGGCCUUCCACAUUAGUGCUCUUACGGUAGAGGCAGAGGGAUUCUGGAAAGUGAGAAUUGUUUCUCAGAACUUAGCAUAGAGCUUGUUCCUUUACGGUUUCUUUUUUUUCUUUUUUAAUUUUUUGUGGGUACAUGAGAUAUUCUGAUACAAGCAUGAAAUGUGUAGUAAUCACAUGAGUAAAAAUGGGGUAUCCAUCACCUCAAGUGUUUAUCCUUUGUGUUGCAAACAAUCCAAUUAUAAUAUUUUUGUUACUUUUAAAUGUACAAAUUAAUUAUUAUUGACUAUAGUCACCCUGUUGUACUAUCAAAUACUAGGUCUUAUUUAUUCUUUCUAACAAGUUUUUGUACACAUUAACCAGUCCUGCUCCCUCCCACCUCCCACCAAGCCUCAUUACUCUUGCCAGCCUCUGGUAACCACCUUCUACUCUCUAUCUCCAUGAAUCCAAUUGUUUUAAUUUGUAGUUCCCACAAAUCAGUGAGAACGUGUUAUGUUUGUCUUUCUGUGCCUGGCUUUUUUCCCUUAACAUAAUGACCUCCAGUUCUAUCCUUGUUGUUGUAAAUGACUGGAUCACAUUCUUUUUUAUGGCUGAAUAGUACUCCACUGUGUAUGUAUGCCACAUUUUCUUUAUCCAUUCACCUGUUGAUUGACACUUAGGUUGCUUCCAAGUCACUAUUGUGACUUAGUCUUGCAAUAAACAUGGGAGUGUAGAUUUUCUUUGAUAUAUGUAUUUCUUUUCUUUUGGUGAUAUACCUAGCAAUGGGCUUGCUGGAUUGUAUGGUAGCUCUAUUUUUGUUUUUUUGAGGAAUGUCUAAACUCUUUUUCAUAGUGAUUGUACUAACUUACAUUCCCAGCAAUAGUGUACAAGGGUUCCUUUUGCUCCACAACCUCUCCAACAUUUGUUCUUGCCAGACUUUUGGAUAAAAGCCAUUUUAACUGGGGUGAGAUGAUAUCUCAUUGUAGUUUUGAUUUGCAUUUCUCUGAUGAUCAGUUAUGAUGAGCACAUUUUCAUAUACCUGUUUGCCAUAUAUAUGUCUUUUUUUGAGAAAUGUUUAUUCAGAUCUUUUGCCCAUUUUUAAAUUGGAUUAUUAGAUUUUUUCCUAGAGAGUUGUUUGAACUCCUUAUACAUUCUGAUUAUUAAUUCCUUGUCAGAUGGGGAGUUUGCAAAUAUCUGUGGGUUGGCUCUUCAUGUUGUCGGCUCUUCAUGUUGUUGCUUGUCUCCUUUACUGUGCAGAAGCUUUUUAACUUGAUGUGACCCCGUUUGUUCAUUUUUGCUUUGGUUUCCAGUGCCUGUGUGGUAUUACUCAAGAAAUCUUUGCCAACCCAAUGUCCUGGAGAGUUUCCUCCAUGUUUUCUUUCAGUAGUUUCAUAGUUUGAGGCCCCAGGUUUAAGUUUUCAAUUCAUUUUGAUUUGCUUUUUGUAUAUGGUUAGAGACAAGGGUCAAGUUUCAUUCUUUUGCAUAUGAAUAUCCAGUUUUCCCAGCACCAUUUAUUGAAGAGACUGUACCUAUUACACAAAGCAAUCUACAGAUUCAAUGCAAUCAAUCAGUCUCUAUCAAAACACCAAUUUAUUGGCCUAUAGUUGCUGAUAGUAGCCACUAAUUAUCCAUUAGAUUUCUGUGGUAUCAGUUGUAAUGUCACCUUUUUCAUCUCUGAUUUUAUUUAUUUGAGUCUUGUCUCUUUUUUCCUUAGUCUGGCUAAAAUUUAGUCAAUUUGGUUUAUCUUUUCAAAAAACUAGCUUUUUUGUUGAUCUUUUAUUUUGUUUUCUCCAUUUCACUGUCAUUUAUUUCUGCUCUGAUCUUUAUUAUUUCUUCUCUUCUACUAAUUUUUGGUAUGGUUUUUCUUGCUAUUCUAGUUCUUAAGAUGCAUUGUUAGGCUAUUUUUUGAAUUAUUUUUCUUCUUUGAUGAAAGCACAUAUAGCUAUAAACUUCCCUGUUAGUACUGCCUUCAUAGUAUCUCACAGGUUCUGGUAUGUUGUGCUUCCACUAUCACUUGUUUCAAGAAUUUUUUCAAUUUCAUUCUUAAUGU